This 468-nucleotide ribosomal RNA is filed under the name uncultured bacterium. Its description in RNAcentral is "partial 16S ribosomal RNA". It matches the Rfam family "Bacterial small subunit ribosomal RNA", at positions 28 to 507 of the family's 1533-position model. The record is from RNAcentral.
GACGAACGCUGGCGGCGUGCUUAACACAUGCAAGUCGAACGGAAAGGCCCUGCUUUUGUGGGGUGCUCGAGUGGCGAACGGGUGAGUAACACGUGAGUAACCUGCCCUUGACUUUGGGAUAACUUCAGGAAACUGGGGCUAAUGCCGGAUAGGAGCUCCUGCUGCAUGGUGGGGGUUGGAAAGUUUCGGCGGUUGGGGAUGGACUCGCGGCUUAUCAGCUUGUUGGUGGGGUAGUGGCUUACCAAGGCUUUGACGGGUAGCCGGCCUGAGAGGGUGACCGGCCACAUUGGGACUGAGAUACGGCCCAGACUCCUACGGGAGGCAGCAGUGGGGAAUAUUGCACAAUGGGCGGAAGCCUGAUGCAGCAACGCCGCGUGCGGGAUGACGGCCUUCGGGUUGUAAACCGCUUUCGCCUGUGACGGAGCGUGAGUGACGGUAAUGGGUAAAGAAGCACCGGCUAACUACGUG